RNAcentral lists this ribosomal RNA (301 nucleotides) under uncultured bacterium. Its description in RNAcentral is "partial 16S ribosomal RNA". It matches the Rfam family "Bacterial small subunit ribosomal RNA", at positions 509 to 807 of the family's 1533-position model. The record is from RNAcentral.
CAGUAGCCGCGGUAAUACGAGGGGGGCAAGCGUUGUUCGGAAUUAUUGGGCGUAAAGGGUGCGUAGGCGGCUUGACAAGUCUUGGGUGAAAUCUAUGGGCUCAACCCAUAGUCUGCACGGGAAACUGUCGGGCUUGAGAAUGGGAGAGGUGAGUGGAAUUUCCGGUGUAGCGGUGAAAUGCGUAGAUAUCGGAAGGAACACCUGUGGCGAAAGCGGCUCACUGGACCAUUUCUGACGCUGAUGCACGAAAGCUAGGGGAGCAAACAGGAUUAGAUACCCCAGUAGUCCCUGUCUCUUAUAC